GAGGAUUCGGGGAUACAUUAGUAUUAUCAAAUGUGUUUUCAUUCAUUUCUAAAUCUACAGGGUCAUGCCUACUGAACCUGUGACAUUUCCAACUUCUUUGUAGCCAUGUGAAAUUGAAGCGUGAGGGGUGCUGACUAGCUUCAGGAAUUGAAUUUUUCCAGGAACUGAAGUUAAGCUCGCUGGCCUAUAGAUCAAUGCCUGUUGCUCAGUAAUCACAGAUACCACUCAUCACUGAUGACAACGGAACCCCUAUAUUUGGACUCUAGCACUUCAGAAGUCAAUGUGCAUUUGGGGAAAUGGAAAUGACAAUCAAGAAAAUGAAGGUGGAAAGAACAGCUGGACAUGACCAAAUACAUUCAAGAAAAAAUGUCUACUGAAGGCAACACAAUUUUAAAAGACCAUAUGGAUAAAUUUUAAAAGAGAAUGGAAAUAUUAUAGAUGACAUUAUAACUA
Trichosurus vulpecula (common brushtail) is the source of this 453-nucleotide long non-coding RNA. RefSeq lists it as uncharacterized. The record is from RefSeq and is a predicted model, not a curated record. The transcript is spliced from 3 exons. NCBI's taxonomy places the organism in Eukaryota, Metazoa, Chordata, Mammalia, Diprotodontia, Phalangeridae.